RNAcentral lists this ribosomal RNA (275 nucleotides) under Enterococcus faecalis. RNAcentral describes it as "partial 23S ribosomal RNA". It matches the Rfam family "Bacterial large subunit ribosomal RNA", at positions 411 to 689 of the family's 2925-position model. The record is from RNAcentral. Lineage: Bacteria; Bacillati; Bacillota; Bacilli; Lactobacillales; Enterococcaceae.
AGUACGGCGGAACACGAGAAAUUCCGUCGGAAUCCGCGGGGACCAUCCCGCAAGGCUAAAUACUCCCUAGUGACCGAUAGUGAACCAGUACCGUGAGGGAAAGGUGAAAAGCACCCCGGAAGGGGAGUGAAAUAGAUCCUGAAACCGUGUGCCUACAACAAGUCAAAGCUCGUUAAUGAGUGAUGGCGUGCCUUUUGUAGAAUGAACCGGCGAGUUACGAUUGCAUGCGAGGUUAAGUCGAAGAGACGGAGCCGCAGCGAAAGCGAGUCUGAAUA